GGCUGUCUUCGUGGAAGCAAUUCAGUAGCAGAGCUUCCCAAAUCAUUCCUCCUGUUCAGGUGUUCCAUUGCCUAAAGAGGAGAACAUUUCUGCUCCCUUGAUCUCCAGCUCCCCAGUGAAGGCAGCCCGGGAGUAUGAAGAUCCCCCUAGUGAAGAGGAAGAUAAAAUAAAAGAAGAACCUUUAACCAUCUCUGAACUAGUGUACAACCCAAGUGCCAGCCUGCUCCCCACCCCUGUGGACGAGGAUGAGAUUGACAUGCUCUUUGACUGUCCUUCUAGGCUUGAGUUGGAAAGAGAAGACACAGAUUCAUUUGAGGAUCUGGAAGCAGAUGAAAACGCCUUUUUGAUUGCUGAAGAAGAGGAGCUGAAGGAGGCUCGCCGUGCUUUGUCGUGGAGCUAUGACAUUCUGACUGGCCAUAUUCGGGUGAACCCACUGGUCAAGAGUUUUUCCAGGCUCCUUGUGGUGGGCCUGGGACUGCUGCUCUUUGUAUUUCCCCUGCUCCUCCUCCUUUUGGAGUCAGGUAUUGAUCUCUCCUUCUUAUGCGAAAUCCGCCAGACACCAGAGUUUGAGCAGUUUCACUAUGAAUACUACUGUCCCCUCAAG
Molecule: small RNA, 604 nt
Filed under: Pan troglodytes (chimpanzee)
Lineage: Eukaryota; Metazoa; Chordata; Mammalia; Primates; Hominidae
Description: processed transcript
Source: RNAcentral